RNAcentral lists this ribosomal RNA (253 nucleotides) under uncultured bacterium. RNAcentral's name for it is "partial 16S ribosomal RNA". It matches the Rfam family "Bacterial small subunit ribosomal RNA", at positions 524 to 776 of the family's 1533-position model. The record is from RNAcentral.
UACGUAGGGGGCAAGCGUUGUCCGGAUUUAUUGGGCGUAAAGCGCGUGUAGGCGGCCAGGUAAGUCGGCUGUGAAAACUCGAGGCUCAACCUCGAGAUGUCGGCCGAAACUAUCUGGCUAGAGUCCGGAAGAGGAGAAUGGAAUUCCCGGUGUAGCGGUGAAAUGCGCAGAUAUCGGGAAGAACACCCGUGGCGAAGGCGGUUCUCUGGGACGGUACUGACGCUGAGGCGCGAAAGCCAGGGGAGCGAACGGG